Molecule: ribosomal RNA, 235 nt
Filed under: uncultured bacterium
Lineage: Bacteria
Description: partial 16S ribosomal RNA
Rfam family: Bacterial small subunit ribosomal RNA
Source: RNAcentral
GACGAACGCUAGCGGCGUGCCUAAGGUAUGCAAGUCGAACGGGAGUAGGGGCAACCCUGCUCGAGUGGCGAACGGUCGAGGAACACGUAGACAACCUGCCCGAGAGAGGGGGAUAACAGCUCGAAAGGGCUGCUAAUACCGCAUGUGGCCGCGAGGUGAUGCCUCGUGUGCUAAAGGGAAGCGCAAGCUUUACCGCUCUGGGAUGGGUCUGCGGCCUAUCAGCAGGUUGGGGGAC